UUUAAGGGGCAGGCAGGUAGCCGGUGAGAGUUUAAGGGGCAGGUAGGUAGCUGGUGAGAGUUUAAGGGGCAGGCAGGUAGCCGGUGAGAGUUUAAGGGGCAGGCAGGUAGCCGGUGAGAGUUUAAGGGGCAGGUAGGUAGCCGGUGAUAGUUUAAGGGGCAGGCAGGUAGCCGGUGAGUGUUUAAGGGGCAGGUAGGUAGUGGUAGAGAGUUGGAUUAGUAACCGAAAGGUUGCAAGAUCGAAUCCCGGAGCCGACAAGGUACAAAUCUGUUGUUCUGCCCCUGAACAAGGCAGUUAACCCACUGUUCCCCGG
Long non-coding RNA from Oncorhynchus tshawytscha (Chinook salmon), 313 nucleotides. Lineage: Eukaryota; Metazoa; Chordata; Actinopteri; Salmoniformes; Salmonidae. The record is from Ensembl.